GACGAACGCUGGCGGCGUGCUUAACACAUGCAAGUCGAACGGAAAGGCCCUGCUUUUGUGGGGUGCUCGAGUGGCGAACGGGUGAGUAACACGUGAGUAACCUGCCCUUGACUUUGGGAUAACUUCAGGAAACUGGGGCUAAUACCGGAUAGGAGCUCCUGCUGCAUGGUGGGGGUUGGAAAGUUUCGGCGGUUGGGGAUGGACUCGCGGCUUAUCAGCUUGUUAGUGGGGUAGUGGCUUACCAAGGGUUCGACGGGUAGCCGGCCUGAGAGGGGGACCGGCGACAUGGGGACUGAGAGACGGACCAGACGCCUACGGGAGGCAGCAGUGGAGAGUAUUGCACAAUGGGCGGAAGCCUGAUGCAGCAACGCCGGGUGCGGAAAAACGGCCUUCGGGUUGUAAACCGCUUUCGCCUGUGACGAAGCGUGAGUGACGGUAAUGGGUAAAGAAGCACCGGCUAACUACGUG
Molecule: ribosomal RNA, 468 nt
Filed under: uncultured bacterium
Lineage: Bacteria
Description: partial 16S ribosomal RNA
Rfam family: Bacterial small subunit ribosomal RNA
Source: RNAcentral